RNAcentral lists this ribosomal RNA (433 nucleotides) under uncultured bacterium. RNAcentral's name for it is "partial 16S ribosomal RNA". It matches the Rfam family "Bacterial small subunit ribosomal RNA", at positions 355 to 780 of the family's 1533-position model. The record is from RNAcentral.
UAGGGAAUCUUCCACAAUGGACGCAAGUCUGAUGGAGCAACGCCGCGUGAGUGAAGAAGGUCUUCGGAUCGUAAAGCUCUGUUGUUGGUGAGGAAGGAUAGAGGCAGUAACUGGUCUUUAUUUGACGGUAAUCAACCAGAAAGUCACGGCUAACUACGUGCCAGCAGCCGCGGUAAUACGUAGGUGGCAAGCGUUGUCCGGAUUUAUUGGGCGUAAAGCGAGCGCAGGCGGAAUGAUAAGUCNGAUGUGAAAGCCCACGGCUCAACCGUGGAACUGCAUCGGAAACUGUCAUUCUUGAGUGCAGAAGAGGAGAGUGGAACUCCAUGUGUAGCGGUGGAAUGCGUAGAUAUAUGGAAGAACACCAGUGGCGAAGGCGGCUCUCUGGUCUGCAACUGACGCUGAGGCUCGAAAGCAUGGGUAGCGAACAGGAUUA